GUUUUUUUUGUUGUUGUUACACAUAGACACAAUAAUCCUGUAUGAUCCAUUUAAAAACAUCUCUGAAACAAGAGAGGGAAACUUUAAACAUGCUGAAGUGUUUUUAUGGCAGAAGUAUUUAGCUGGUGUUUCAUAGUGGCACAGAGAGUAGAUUUGAGAUUGAGUUGGGAUCUUGCUUGGUAGUUAUGGAGGAAAGUCAGAAGUGUAAGAGCUUUGAAAUGAUGAGUCAUCCCUGAGCCAAGGUUCAAGAUGAAGCUGUGAGAAUAAGUGACAAACAUUUGAUAAAUAUGAAGAAGACAAAGAAACUCAUUCUGGACUUUAGCCAACCACAAUUUUGGGUGGAGAAUGCACACUGAUUAAAACAUUUCCGUAGACAUUUUCAUCCUGUCCUCUGCUGACCAGCUUGGAAGAUAAAUGUGGAAUUGCUAUUUUCAGAGAGAAGAAACAGACAUAGCAAUAUGAUAAGAAUUAAACUAGAGCUGCAUACAAGAUGCUGCAGAAUAAUGAAGGAUAUAGGUACUCUCAGAGACCUUAAUUGGAAGACUAAAGGCAAUAACAUUCCCAGAGCAUGCACAGUGGCUUGGUGGUCAG
This 591-nucleotide long non-coding RNA is filed under the name Canis lupus familiaris (dog). RNAcentral describes it as "lncRNA (ENSCAFG00000046845.2)". The record is from RNAcentral. Lineage: Eukaryota; Metazoa; Chordata; Mammalia; Carnivora; Canidae.